Molecule: unclassified non-coding RNA, 309 nt
Filed under: plant metagenome
Description: partial contains 5.8S ribosomal RNA, internal transcribed spacer 2, and large subunit ribosomal RNA
Rfam family: 5.8S ribosomal RNA (bases 1-105)
Source: RNAcentral
GAAAUGCGAUAAGUAGUGUGAAUUGCAGAAUUCAGUGAAUCAUCGAAUCUUUGAACGCACAUUGCGCCCCUCGGUAUUCCGUGGGGCAUGCCUGUUCGAGCGUCAUCUACACCCUCAGCUCUGCUUGGUGUUGGGCGUCUGUCCCGCCUCCUUCGCGCGCGGACUCGCCCCAAAUCCAUUGGCGGCGGCCCUUGCCUCCCUCUCGCGCAGCACAUUGCGCUUCUCGAGGCGCGGCGGACCGCGUCCAGCAAGCAACCGUCACACCGUCUUUGACCUCGGAUCAGGUAGGGAUACCCGCUGAACUUAAGC